AUUGUCAACGGUAAAUCGGACUGAACGAAGCGCAGCGAAGUGAGGGAGAAUUUAAGGAGUUGACAAUUUUGCUACA
Molecule: small RNA, 76 nt
Filed under: Brochothrix thermosphacta
Lineage: Bacteria; Bacillati; Bacillota; Bacilli; Caryophanales; Listeriaceae
Also listed under: 1 other name
Description: Bacillus-plasmid
Rfam family: Bacillus-plasmid RNA
Source: RNAcentral